This 578-nucleotide ribosomal RNA is filed under the name Melithaea retifera. RNAcentral describes it as "eukaryotic LSU rRNA". It matches the Rfam family "Eukaryotic large subunit ribosomal RNA", at positions 135 to 499 of the family's 3401-position model. The record is from RNAcentral. Lineage: Eukaryota; Metazoa; Cnidaria; Anthozoa; Malacalcyonacea; Melithaeidae.
ACGGCGAAUUGUAGUUUCGAGAAGUACUUUCAAGGCGCGUCGAGUUUGCCUAAGUUGCUUGGAACAGCACGUCAGAGAGGGUGACAACCCCGUACGUGGCAAUGCUCGAGCGUUCGCGAUGUGCUUUCGAAGAGUCGGGUUGUUUGGGAAUGCAGCCCAAAACGGGUGGUAAACUCCAUCUAAAGCUAAAUACGGGCACGAGACCGAUAGCGAACAAGUACCGUGAGGGAAAGAUGAAAAGGACUUUGAAAAGAGAGUUAAAAAGUACGUGAAACCGUUGAAAGGGAAGCGAAUGGAGUUAGCAAUUCGCCCUGUCAGACUCAGCCGCUCGCGAGCAGCGACGUGCGCGUUCUCGAUCCCUAUAGACGAGACGCGUGCGGGUGCAACUUGCGGACGGCGCACUUCUGGCGGGCGAGCGUCAGCGUCGGUUGUCGACGGGCGAGAAGGUCGCGAGGAAGGUGGACCGGCCUAACGGCCGGUUGUUAAAGCCUCGCGCUCGCACGGCCCGACGGCGACCGUGGCUUGUGAAGGCGACGCGUGCCUGGCUGGCGACUCGCUCGAUCGGUCCGGCAUGUCGA